Molecule: ribosomal RNA, 460 nt
Filed under: uncultured bacterium
Lineage: Bacteria
Description: partial 16S ribosomal RNA
Rfam family: Bacterial small subunit ribosomal RNA
Source: RNAcentral
CCUACGGGAGGCAGCAGUGAGGAAUAUUGGUCAAUGGCCGGAAGGCUGAACCAGCCAAGCCGCGUGAAGGACGAAGGUGCCAAGCAUUGUAAACUUCUUUUGUCAAGGGACAAAAUCAGGCUCGAGAGCCUGACCGAGGGUACUUGAAGAAAAAGCAUCGGCCAACUCCGUGCCAGGAGCCGCGGGAAUACGUAGGGAGCAAGCGUUAUCCGGAUUUACUUGGUGUAAAGGGAGCGUAGACGGCAGCACAAGUCUGGAGGGAAAUCCCGGGGCUUAACCCCCGAACUGCUUUGGAAACUGGGCGGCUGGAGUGCAGGAGGGGUAAGCGGAAUGCCUGGUGUAGCGGUGAAAUGCGUAGAUAUUAGGAGGAACCCCGGUGGCGAAGGCGGCUUACUGGCCUGUAACUGACGUUGAGGCUCGAAAGCGCGGGGAGCAAACAGGAUUAGAUACCCGAGUAGUC